This 126-nucleotide transfer RNA is filed under the name Escherichia coli. RNAcentral's name for it is "tRNA-Und (NNN) (tRNA-Und-NNN-3-1, tRNA-Und-NNN-3-2)". The record is from RNAcentral. Lineage: Bacteria; Pseudomonadati; Pseudomonadota; Gammaproteobacteria; Enterobacterales; Enterobacteriaceae.
AGGUGUUAAGUUUGGUUAAUUUUUCAGCCAUUUUUCGUAUUGCAUUGAUUUUUAGUUAUUUUUCAUCGGUCUUGAAAACCGGCGACCCGAAAGGGUUCCAGAGUUCGAAUCUCUGCGCUUCCGCCA